AGGAAGUAAAAGAGUCUCGUCUCAGAAGUCUUCACCAAAAGAUAUCACUGUUCCGAACUAAACAGGUGGACGAGAAAAUUGUGCUCAAUAUGAAAAUGAAGGAUCAAGAGAGGAUUGACUUCGUUGAAUUUCUGUCUGUGACUACAAGUACCAUGCAAGGAAUUAUCCAA
This is a long non-coding RNA of Saccostrea echinata, 170 nucleotides long. RefSeq lists it as uncharacterized. Lineage: Eukaryota; Metazoa; Mollusca; Bivalvia; Ostreida; Ostreidae. The record is from RefSeq and is a predicted model, not a curated record. The transcript has 3 exons.